AGCAGCCGCGGUAAUUCCAGCUCCAAUAGCGUAUAUUAAAGUUGUUGCAGUUAAAAAGCUCGUAGUUGAAUUUCGGGAUUAGUACGCUGGUCGUGCCUUCGGUAUGUACUGGUGUUACUGAUUCCUACCUUCUGACGAAUCGUCAUGUCAUUAAUUUGGUGUGGCGGGGAAUCAGGACUGUUACUUUGAAAAAUUAGAGUGUUUAAAGCAGGCUCGCGCUUGAAUACAUUAGCAUGGAAUAAUGAAAUAGGACGUUUGAUCCUAUUUUGUUGGUUUCUAGGAUUGACGUGAUGAUUAAUAGGGAUAGUUGGGGGCAUUAGUAUUCAAUUGUCAGAGGUGAAAUUCUUGGAUUUAUUGAAGACUAACUACUGCGAAAGCAUUUGCCAAGGAUGUUUUCAUUAAUCAAGAACGAAAGUUAGGGGAUCGAAGACGAUCAGAUACCGUCGCAGUCUUAACCAUAAACUAUGCCGACUAGGGAUCGGAUGAUGUUAAUUUUUAAUGUACUCU
RNAcentral lists this ribosomal RNA (507 nucleotides) under uncultured Glomus. Its description in RNAcentral is "SSU rRNA". It matches the Rfam family "Eukaryotic small subunit ribosomal RNA", at positions 569 to 1078 of the family's 1831-position model. The record is from RNAcentral. Lineage: Eukaryota; Fungi; Glomeromycota; Glomeromycetes; Glomerales; Glomeraceae.